RNAcentral lists this ribosomal RNA (944 nucleotides) under Paratagalis sp. RNAcentral describes it as "SSU rRNA". The record is from RNAcentral. Lineage: Eukaryota; Metazoa; Arthropoda; Insecta; Hemiptera; Reduviidae.
AACCGCAAAGGGCUCAGUAAACCAGUUUUAAUUUACUAGAGUUUUUACGUUUCGUACGUGGAUACCUGUGGUAAUUCUAGAGCUAAUACAUGCAAUUAAGUCCGGACCAGCAAUGGAAAGGACGCUUUUAUUAGAUCAAAACCAUUCGCCCAACUUGUUUGGGCGUUGUUUUGGUGAAUCUAGAUAACACUUGAGAUCGUACAGUCACCGUACUGACGACAUCUCUUUCAAACGCCUGACUUAUCAGCUGUCGAUGGUAGACUCUGUGUCUACCAUGGCCCUCACGGGUAACGGGGAAUCAGGGUUCGAUUUCCGGAGAGGGAGCCUGAGAAACGGCUACCACAUCCAAGGAAGGCAGCAGGCACGCAAAUUACCCACUCCCGGCACGGGGAGGUAGUGACAAAAAAUAACGAUACGGGACUCUAAUGAGGCCCCGUAAUCGGAAUGAGUACACUUUAAAUCCUUUAACAAGGAUCCAUUGGAGGGCAAGUCUGGUGCCAGCAGCCGCGGUAAUUCCAGCUCCAAUAGCGUAUAUUAAAGUUGUUGCGGUUAAAAAGCUCGUAGUUGGUUCUGCGUGCCGCGCUGUCGGUUCGCCGCCUGUCGGUGUAACUGGCAUGUCGCGGCAUGUCCUGUCGGUGGUGAACUGGUACCCCGGUGCAAAAUUGACUUUCCAAGUCGACGUCUGCGCCGAGCGUGUUCCCGUUUGCCGAUCUCUCCUACUCCGGUGCUCUUAAACGAGUGUCGAGGUAGGCCGACACGUUCACUUUGAACAAAUUAGAGUGCUUAAAGCAGGCUGAAAUAUCUGCCUGAAUAGUGKUGGCAUGGAAUGAUAAAAUAGGACCUCGGUUCUAUUUUGUUGGUUUUAGGAAUAUGAGGUAAUGAUCAAUGUGGACUGGCGGGGGCAUUCGUAUUGCGACGUUAGARGUGAAAUUCUUGGAUCUCCA